This 306-nucleotide unclassified non-coding RNA is filed under the name Hevea brasiliensis (rubber tree). The record is from RNAcentral. Lineage: Eukaryota; Viridiplantae; Streptophyta; Magnoliopsida; Malpighiales; Euphorbiaceae.
AUCAAGCAGGAUGAAGAUGAUGAAGAUGACGAGAAUGAGGAAGGUGGACUGAGUAAAUCUGGCAAGGAGUUGAAGAAGCUUCUUGGGAGAGCUGGUGGACUGAAUGAUUCAGAUGCAGAUGGCGACGAUGAUGAUGAGGAUAUGGAGGAAGAUGAUCUUUCUCCUGUAUUGGCUCCAAAGAAGGAUGCACCUAAGGAGGAACCUGCUGAUAACAGUCCUGCAAAACCAAUGCCUUCUGGUUCUGCUAAAGGGACCCCAUCUACUUCCAAGUCUGCAAAGGGAAAAAGAAAAUUAAAUGGUGAUGAU